This 1225-nucleotide ribosomal RNA is filed under the name Microbacteriaceae bacterium DAB_3Ecl. RNAcentral describes it as "bacterial SSU rRNA". It matches the Rfam family "Bacterial small subunit ribosomal RNA", at positions 79 to 1319 of the family's 1533-position model. The record is from RNAcentral. Lineage: Bacteria; Bacillati; Actinomycetota; Actinomycetes; Micrococcales; Microbacteriaceae.
UUGCUCUGGUGGAUUAGUGGCGAACGGGUGAGUAACACGUGAGUAACCUGCCCUUGACUCUGGGAUAACUGCUAGAAAUGGUAGCUAAUACCGGAUACGACCCUCGGAGGCAUCUCCAGGGGGUGGAAAGAAUUUCGGUCAAGGAUGGACUCGCGGCCUAUCAGCUAGUUGGUGAGGUAAUGGCUCACCAAGGCGACGACGGGUAGCCGGCCUGAGAGGGUGACCGGCCACACUGGGACUGAGACACGGCCCAGACUCCUACGGGAGGCAGCAGUGGGGAAUAUUGCACAAUGGGCGAAAGCCUGAUGCAGCAACGCCGCGUGAGGGACGAAGGCCUUCGGGUUGUAAACCUCUUUUAGUAGGGAAGAAGCGAAAGUGACGGUACCUGCAGAAAAAGCACCGGCUAACUACGUGCCAGCAGCCGCGGUAAUACGUAGGGUGCAAGCGUUGUCCGGAAUUAUUGGGCGUAAAGAGCUCGUAGGCGGUUUGUCGCGUCUGCUGUGAAAUCUGGGGGCUCAACCCCCAGCCUGCAGUGGGUACGGGCAGACUAGAGUGCGGUAGGGGAGAUUGGAAUUCCUGGUGUAGCGGUGGAAUGCGCAGAUAUCAGGAGGAACACCAAUGGCGAAGGCAGAUCUCUGGGCCGUUACUGACGCUGAGGAGCGAAAGCAUGGGGAGCAAACAGGAUUAGAUACCCUGGUAGUCCAUGCCGUAAACGUUGGGAACUAGAUGUAGGGGCCAUUCCACGGUUUCUGUGUCGCAGCUAACGCAUUAAGUUCCCCGCCUGGGGAGUACGGCCGCAAGGCUAAAACUCAAAGGAAUUGACGGGGGCCCGCACAAGCGGCGGAGCAUGCGGAUUAAUUCGAUGCAACGCGAAGAACCUUACCAAGGCUUGACAUAUACAGGAAAAGCGUAGAAAUACGCUCCCCGCAAGGUCUGUAUACAGGUGGUGCAUGGUUGUCGUCAGCUCGUGUCGUGAGAUGUUGGGUUAAGUCCCGCAACGAGCGCAACCCUCGUCCUAUGUUGCCAGCACGUAAUGGUGGGAACUCAUGGGAGACUGCCGGGGUCAACUCGGAGGAAGGUGGGGAUGACGUCAAAUCAUCAUGCCCCUUAUGUCUUGGGCUUCACGCAUGCUACAAUGGCCGAUACAGAGGGCUGCAAUACCGUAAGGUGGAGCGAAUCCCACAAAGUCGGUCUCAGUUCGGAUUGAGGUCUGCAACUCGACCUC